This 511-nucleotide ribosomal RNA is filed under the name uncultured bacterium. Its description in RNAcentral is "bacterial SSU rRNA". It matches the Rfam family "Bacterial small subunit ribosomal RNA", at positions 334 to 867 of the family's 1533-position model. The record is from RNAcentral.
UACGCCAUAGGGGGGGAAGCAGUUAAAUAUGUUCCACAAUGGGCGAAAGCCCGACGGAGCGGCAAUGCGUGAUGGAUGAUGGCAAUAGGGUCGUACCCCUCUAAAAGAAGGAUGAUAAGGCCGGUACCUCAAGAGAAGCACCGGCUAACUCCGUCCCAGCAGCCGCGGUAAUACGGAGGGUGCAAGUGUUAUCCGGAAUCACUGGGUGUAAAGGGCGCGUAGGCGGUUUGUUAAGUCCGAUGUCAAAUCCCGGGGCUCAACCCCGGAUUGGCGUUGGAUACUGGCAGGCUUGAGGGCAGGAGAGGCGAGUAGAAUUUCCAGUGUAGCGGUGGAAUGCGUAGAUAUGGGUAAGAAUACCCGUUGAGAAGGCAGCUCGCCGUACAUCACGUGGCGGAGAGGAAAGAAAGGGUGGGGACCAAACUAGAUUACAUACCCGGGUACUCCCCACCCUAAGGGCAGCAUACUUGGUGUCGCUCCACGGGGUCAGUGCCGGAGCUAACGCGUUAAGUAU